UCCCUGCUGUCUCAGAUGGUAAAGAAUCUGCCUACAAUUCAGGAGACCCAGGUUCAAUCCCUGGGUUGGGAA
This 72-nucleotide transfer RNA is filed under the name Bos taurus (domestic cattle). It matches the Rfam family "tRNA". Rfam says of the family: Transfer RNA (tRNA) molecules are approximately 80 nucleotides in length. Their secondary structure includes four short double-helical elements and three loops (D, anti-codon, and T loops). Further hydrogen bonds mediate the characteristic L-shaped molecular structure. tRNAs have two regions of fundamental functional importance: the anti-codon, which is responsible for specific mRNA codon recognition, and the 3' end, to which the tRNAs corresponding amino acid is attached (by aminoacyl-tRNA synthetases). tRNAs cope with the degeneracy of the genetic code in two manners: having more than one tRNA (with a specific anti-codon) for a particular amino acid; and 'wobble' base-pairing, i.e. permitting non-standard base-pairing at the 3rd anti-codon position. Lineage: Eukaryota; Metazoa; Chordata; Mammalia; Artiodactyla; Bovidae. The record is from Rfam by way of RNAcentral. RNAcentral also lists the same sequence under 2 other names.